This 253-nucleotide ribosomal RNA is filed under the name uncultured bacterium. RNAcentral's name for it is "partial 16S ribosomal RNA". It matches the Rfam family "Bacterial small subunit ribosomal RNA", at positions 524 to 776 of the family's 1533-position model. The record is from RNAcentral.
UACGUAGGUGGCGAGCGUUGUCCGGAUUUACUGGGCGUAAAGGGCGCGCAGGCGGUUUUGUAAGCCAGAUGUGAAAUCCCCGGGCUCAACCUGGGAAUGGCAUUUGGGACUGCAAGGCUAGAGUGUGGCAGAGGAGACUGGAAUUCCCGGUGUAGCAGUGAAAUGCGUAGAUAUCGGGAGGAAUACCGAUGACGAAGGCAGGUCUCUGGGCUGACACUGACGCUCAUGCACGAAAGCGUGGGGAGCAAACAGG